GAUGAACGCUGGCGGCGUGCCUAAUACAUGCAAGUCGAGCGAAUGGAUUAAGAGCUUGCUCUUAUGAAGUUAGCGGCGGACGGGUGAGUAACACGUGGGUAACCUGCCCAUAAGACUGGGAUAACUCCGGGAAACCGGGGCUAAUACCGGAUAACACUUUGAACCGCAUGGUUCGAAAUUGAAAGGCGGCUUCGGCUGUCACUUAUGGAUGGACCCGCGUCGCAUUAGCUAGUUGGUGAGGUAACGGCUCACCAAGGCAACGAUGCGUAGCCGGCCUGAGAGGGGGGUGGGCCACACUGGGACUGAGACACGGCCCAGACUCCUACGGGAGGCAGCAUUAGGGAAUCUUCGGCAAUGGACGAAAGUCUGACGGAGCAACGCCGCGUGAGUGAUGAAGGCUUUCGGGUCGUAAAACUCUGUUGUUAGGGAAGAACAAGUGCUAGUUGAAUAAGCUGGCACCUUGACGGUACCUAACCAGAAAGCCACGGCUAACUACGUGCCAGCCGCCGCAGUAA
Molecule: ribosomal RNA, 515 nt
Filed under: uncultured bacterium
Lineage: Bacteria
Description: partial 16S ribosomal RNA
Rfam family: Bacterial small subunit ribosomal RNA
Source: RNAcentral